RNAcentral lists this ribosomal RNA (2907 nucleotides) under Yersinia pestis. Its description in RNAcentral is "23S ribosomal RNA". It matches the Rfam family "Bacterial large subunit ribosomal RNA". Lineage: Bacteria; Pseudomonadati; Pseudomonadota; Gammaproteobacteria; Enterobacterales; Yersiniaceae. The record is from RNAcentral.
GGUUAAGCGACUAAGCGUACACGGUGGAUGCCUAGGCAGUCAGAGGCGAUGAAGGGCGUGCUAAUCUGCGAAAAGCGUCGGUAAGCUGAUAUGAAGCGUUAUAACCGACGAUACCCGAAUGGGGAAACCCAGUGCAAUACGUUGCACUAUCGUUAGAUGAAUACAUAGUCUAACGAGGCGAACCGGGGGAACUGAAACAUCUAAGUACCCCGAGGAAAAGAAAUCAACCGAGAUUCCCCCAGUAGCGGCGAGCGAACGGGGAGGAGCCCAGAGUCUGAAUCAGUUUGUGUGUUAGUGGAAGCGUCUGGAAAGUCGCACGGUACAGGGUGAUAGUCCCGUACACCAAAAUGCACAGGCUGUGAACUCGAUGAGUAGGGCGGGACACGUGACAUCCUGUCUGAAUAUGGGGGGACCAUCCUCCAAGGCUAAAUACUCCUGACUGACCGAUAGUGAACCAGUACCGUGAGGGAAAGGCGAAAAGAACCCCGGCGAGGGGAGUGAAAUAGAACCUGAAACCGUGUACGUACAAGCAGUGGGAGCACCUUCGUGGUGUGACUGCGUACCUUUUGUAUAAUGGGUCAGCGACUUAUAUUUUGUAGCAAGGUUAACCGAAUAGGGGAGCCGUAGGGAAACCGAGUCUUAACUGGGCGUCUAGUUGCAAGGUAUAGACCCGAAACCCGGUGAUCUAGCCAUGGGCAGGUUGAAGGUUGGGUAACACUAACUGGAGGACCGAACCGACUAAUGUUGAAAAAUUAGCGGAUGACUUGUGGCUGGGGGUGAAAGGCCAAUCAAACCGGGAGAUAGCUGGUUCUCCCCGAAAGCUAUUUAGGUAGCGCCUCGUGAACUCAUCUUCGGGGGUAGAGCACUGUUUCGGCUAGGGGGCCAUCCCGGCUUACCAAACCGAUGCAAACUCCGAAUACCGAAGAAUGUUAUCACGGGAGACACACGGCGGGUGCUAACGUCCGUCGUGAAGAGGGAAACAACCCAGACCGCCAGCUAAGGUCCCAAAGUCAUGGUUAAGUGGGAAACGAUGUGGGAAGGCACAGACAGCCAGGAUGUUGGCUUAGAAGCAGCCAUCAUUUAAAGAAAGCGUAAUAGCUCACUGGUCGAGUCGGCCUGCGCGGAAGAUGUAACGGGGCUAAACCAUGCACCGAAGCUGCGGCAGCGACGUUUAGGCGUUGUUGGGUAGGGGAGCGUUCUGUAAGCCGUUGAAGGUGACCUGUGAGGGUUGCUGGAGGUAUCAGAAGUGCGAAUGCUGACAUAAGUAACGAUAAUGCGGGUGAAAAACCCGCACGCCGGAAGACCAAGGGUUCCUGUCCAACGUUAAUCGGGGCAGGGUGAGUCGACCCCUAAGGCGAGGCUGAAAAGCGUAGUCGAUGGGAAACAGGUUAAUAUUCCUGUACUUGGUGUUACUGCGAAGGGGGGACGGAGAAGGCUAGGCUGGCCGGGCGACGGUUGUCCCGGUUUAAGCGUGUAGGGGGAGUGACCAGGUAAAUCCGGUUGCUUAUCAACCCUGAGGCGUGAUGACGAUGCACCACGGUGCAGAAGCAGUUGAUGCCAUGCUUCCAGGAAAAGCCUCUAAGCAUCAGGUAACAUUAAAUCGUACCCCAAACCGACACAGGUGGUCAGGUAGAGAAUACUCAGGCGCUUGAGAGAACUCGGGUGAAGGAACUAGGCAAAAUGGUGCCGUAACUUCGGGAGAAGGCACGCUGGCGUUAGGUGAAAGGACUAGCUCCUGGAGCUGAAGCCAGUCGCAGAUACCAGCUGGCUGCAACUGUUUAAUAAAAACACAGCACUGUGCAAACACGAAAGUGGACGUAUACGGUGUGACGCCUGCCCGGUGCUGGAAGGUUAAUUGAUGGGGUCAGCCGCAAGGGGAAGCUCUUGAUCGAAGCCCCAGUAAACGGCGGCCGUAACUAUAACGGUCCUAAGGUAGCGAAAUUCCUUGUCGGGUAAGUUCCGACCUGCACGAAUGGCGUAAUGAUGGCCAGGCUGUCUCCACCCGAGACUCAGUGAAAUUGAACUCGCUGUGAAGAUGCAGUGUACCCGCGGCAAGACGGAAAGACCCCGUGAACCUUUACUAUAGCUUGACACUGAACAUUGAGCCUUGAUGUGUAGGAUAGGUGGGAGGCCUUGAAGUGUGGACGCCAGUCUGCAUGGAGCCAACCUUGAAAUACCACCCUUUAAUGUUUGAUGUUCUAACUCGGCCCCAUGAUCUGGGGUGAGGACAGUGUCUGGUGGGUAGUUUGACUGGGGCGGUCUCCUCCCAAAGAGUAACGGAGGAGCACGAAGGUUAGCUAAUCACGGUCGGACAUCGUGAGGUUAGUGCAAAGGCAUAAGCUAGCUUGACUGCGAGAGUGACGGCUCGAGCAGGUACGAAAGUAGGUCUUAGUGAUCCGGUGGUUCUGAAUGGAAGGGCCAUCGCUCAACGGAUAAAAGGUACUCCGGGGAUAACAGGCUGAUACCGCCCAAGAGUUCAUAUCGACGGCGGUGUUUGGCACCUCGAUGUCGGCUCAUCACAUCCUGGGGCUGAAGUAGGUCCCAAGGGUAUGGCUGUUCGCCAUUUAAAGUGGUACGCGAGCUGGGUUUAGAACGUCGUGAGACAGUUCGGUCCCUAUCUGCCGUGGGCGUUGGAAGAUUGAGAGGGGCUGCUCCUAGUACGAGAGGACCGGAGUGGACGAAUCACUGGUGUUCGGGUUGUCAUGCCAAUGGCAUUGCCCGGUAGCUAAAUUCGGAAGAGAUAACCGCUGAAAGCAUCUAAGCGGGAAACUUGCCUCGAGAUGAGUCUUCCCUGGGGCUUAAAGCCCCCUGAAGGAACGUUAAAGACUAUGACGUUGAUAGGCUGGGUGUGUAAGUGCAGCGAUGUAUUGAGCUAACCAGUACUAAUGAUCCGUGAGGCUUAACCUU